UGGCAAAAGUCAUCUAUUGAUUUUGGAGGGAGACACUGGUGUUUUCAUUCAAACUAGUCCUCAUAGCAAAUACUUCCCAAUGAUGCGCUCACUUUAUUCAAUUUUGUUUUCUCCUUCCCAGAAAUAAAACAUUUCUGAUGCUUAAAUAUAACGACAAAUUCAUCAAAAUCAUGUCUUGAAUGGCCUCUGGGUUCUGAUAUUCCUUCGUUGAUCUGCCCUAUCAAGUAUGACUUAUAUUAUUCUCAUGUGAAAGAUGAGGAAACAGGGCCCAGUGAGUGAAGUUACUUAACUAAGUCCCCAUGGUUGAUACAGAAGACUGUCAUAUGAACCAGUGAGAGUAACUGAAAUCAAAAAAAAGGCUCCAGCAUCUCGGUAAAAACAUGCCACAAGGGACGAGAAGGAGAAGUUUCAACCAGCAGGCCAAGAGACCAGAGACAAGCCAUGUGUGGACAAGGUUGCAGUGUGGGAAAUAUUUAAUUCCCUGUGGUGAUUGUUGACACAUGGAGCUUGUGAAGCACAGAGCCCCAACUUAUGGAUCUUGUGUUAUAAUUUUUCAAAUACUUCACAGCAGCCGCACUAGCCAUACAACUAACACAAAUAAAUUGUUAUAUUUCUAAACUGUUAUACACUUUGUCAAUUAGCAGCUUAGGGUUCCUUCUGAAUUUCUUGGGAAAACCUCCAGAGAGUCAGCAGUUCUCAAGGUGUGAGAUUCAUCUUCUGUAGCUAUUAGGGUCCCCUUGGGAUGCACCCUCUAGUCUAGAACGGGUCACCUGGAACUGAAAGUCUUCUGAGACACAAGAACGGGGAGCAGUUAGGACUGUGAAGGAAGAUGCGGAGAAAACUUCUCUCUGCUCGAGAGAUGAACCAAAUUUAAAGGGGUGAUGAGAACACUGGCAGAAUGAUAUUUUUUCAGUAUAUUUUUUUAUAUUAAGUGAUUUCCCCAUCUGGUAGCUGCUCUUGCCUCUGCCUCCUUCCCAACCCCAUUCGGGCAUCAUUUCUUAUAUCAGGGUAAAAAACCAGUUUCACCAGAGAACAGGAAAAAAAAAGGCUUUUGAUUUUCUUAAGUCAAGACCCGAAGGGCACUUGGCACAGAAACUCUAAGAUGACUUGGAGUGAGGCUUCUAGGCUCUAGUGGAACAUAAAAUUUUCCGGCUGUGCUGGCGGGGAGGGGAGGAGGAGGGAAGGGAAAGCUAAGGGGGAGUGAGGAAGCAGAGAGAGCUCUUAGGUGCUGGUGGGCCCUCUCUCUUCUGAGAAAAAGGCUCUGUGCCCUGCUCCCCAGAGGGGAAGGUGGUGGAUACAGAAAUCCCAGAUGGCUUGGGUUAUCAUCACUUCCCAGCAGGGCCCAACGAGACUGCGAAACUCCAGAACAGAAAGGGCCGAGUGGUUUCUAAGGAACGGAGAGUCUGAGCCAUCCUUAGAGAGCCAUCCCAGCACAGCAUGUGGGCACAGGUUAGGAUGAGUCCUCUGCUCAGAAAUGCCACCAGAGUAGCAACAAAGGACC
Molecule: long non-coding RNA, 1501 nt
Filed under: Equus asinus (donkey)
Lineage: Eukaryota; Metazoa; Chordata; Mammalia; Perissodactyla; Equidae
Description: lncRNA (ENSEASG00005037668.1)
Source: RNAcentral